RNAcentral lists this unclassified non-coding RNA (197 nucleotides) under soil metagenome. RNAcentral describes it as "partial contains 5.8S ribosomal RNA, internal transcribed spacer 2, and large subunit ribosomal RNA". The record is from RNAcentral.
AACGCACGAGACCUGCGGACCUGCGGAGGGAUCAUUACCGAGUUUACAACUCCCAAACCCCAUGUGAACAUACCUGUUUCGUUCCCUCGGCGGUGUCCGGCAACGGCCCGCCAGAGGACCCAACAAACUCUUUUGAAUUUUUCAGUAUCUUCUGAGUGAAAAAAACAAUAAAUCAAAACUUUUAGCAACGGAUCUCU